Chinchilla lanigera (long-tailed chinchilla) is the source of this 2210-nucleotide long non-coding RNA. RefSeq lists it as uncharacterized. NCBI's taxonomy places the organism in Eukaryota, Metazoa, Chordata, Mammalia, Rodentia, Chinchillidae. The transcript has 2 exons. The record is from RefSeq and is a predicted model, not a curated record.
GUGGUGCUUAGCCUGGGGCUGCCGAGCGUGGGCCAGGAUGAGGAAGCCCAGAAAAUAAAAGAUGAGAAAAGAGAACUACAGAAUUUCCUCCGGACCUAACGGCGGGGUUGUCGCGGUGAUGGAGAAGAGCAGUCGGGUCUUCUAGGAUUCUGGUUCUGAGAGGGCGAGCAGAGAGAGCGAGGUAGUGAAAGUAGGUCCUAAAAGCAAUGUAUUCUGGUGGCCGACAAAGCAGGGCCAAGAGAGCUCUCUGUGGGCUACGGGAGCCCCACACGGGCCGGACUCCGGCGCUGGGGUCAUCUUUUGAGGCUUAACAGCCUCAGUUCCGGAGCCUUUGAGCGUCAGGACUACCCGUCAUGUCGGACUGUCUUUCACUGAGCAUCUGCCCUGCCCUGCCUUCUCAGCCCAAAAUGAUCAGUCUUCGGCCGUGUCCCAAACGUGCUUUCCUCUCAGAUCUUUGUAUCAAACCUGAAUUAGUUCCGUUUUACCUUGAAGAAAUCUUAAGGUUUAAAGAAAUUUAAGAGCCCUGGCCAAGGCAACGUAGUGUCAGAGUUUGAACUCUGAUGGAUGUGUCUGGAGACCCGGCUCUAUCUGCUAAGUCAGGGUAUCUUUGUUAAGGUACUGUAGUUGAAUUACGGAAGAAAAGCCUAUUAUGCUGUAGAAGUUACGAGGAGAACUGCAAGAGGACCUGCCCAUUGCCCUUCCUUUCAGCUAGACUUCACUCUGCUCUUUGUCUCCCUUCCUCCCUCUCUUCCUCCCUCUCUCCUUCACUUCUCUCCUUUUUUCCCCCAGAAAACAUGAGAGAAAUAAAACUUCUGACUACAUAUAAACAUGUACCUCUGACUUGAGAGAAGACUUGGAGUCUUUCUAAACACCUCAAAUUUCCAGAAGGGCAAUGCCUGUGUAUACAGGUGAAAAACUGAGGCCCAAAUGUUCCAUGUCACACUACUCAAAAAUGGUGACAGAACUGAGAUACAAACCUAAGUCAUACCUAAGAAUCCUAAUACCCUUUUUGCUGGACUUUCUUUUUCACUGAAUCUAGAAUCAACUGGAUAUACAAAUGAUUUUGUUGAGCUGAGGCGGUGGGAUGCCUCCUAAUGGUAGUGUUUUGAAUGGAAUAAACUCAGAGGACAAUCUUUAAUUAAAAAACAUGAAGAACCAAUAAAUGGCAGUGGAAGUAAUGAAAGAACAAUCAGAGAACAGACCCAGAAGAAUUAAAAACAAGAGAAAAAAAAGGAACUGGUGCAAGAAAGUUCUGUGUAGAAGACUCAAGAAAAUUACAUAGCACAGAAGGAGAGAAGGAAGAUGAAACAGUGAUUAGCAGUCUUGGCAUCUUUAAAGACCUUAAAGAGGCUUAGUAUUUACAGAAACUAUUGCCAAGGAAUUAAGUGAUUGUAAGGACAUUAGCAGCCUUUAAAAAAAGCAUUUUCAAUUGAGUAAUGCUGAAGCAAAUUUGCAAGAGAUUAAGAAAUAAUUGGAUGAUAAAGAGGUGAAAGUUGUGAAUAUAAACAUUUACCAAGAGGUUAGUGAUGAAAAGCAAAUACUGAUGUGCUACAUGUAGCACUGAAAGUAGCUUAACUAGUCCUGCGUUUAGGAUGUAGUUGACAUUACUUACUUUAUGAUAAUACUCCUAAUAGAAACAUGCAACUAAAUGGACCUUUGUGGUAUGAGCAGGAAUUAGCCAGGCAUAUAUCAAGAGUACUGUAUAUGAAGAAAACUUGAUUUUCCCAGAGAACUCAAAAUAGUUCAGCAUGUCUGCACUAGAGUAAGGGAGAAGGAUUGAAAAAAAUGAUAACAGAAAGACAUAUGAGGUUUAACUUCUGAAGGUCCGUGAUUAUCCAUUUAAGGCAUCUGGACUUCAUCCUGAAGAAUUUGGGAAUCCAUGGAAGAAUGUUAAAAAGGGUAAUAUUCAUGCUUUAUUAUUGGUUCAUUUCUGCAUAUUAGUUACUUUCCCUAUUGGAGGAAAUUUUAAGACUGUCAACUGUAUUCCUGCAUAAAGUGACUGAAAGUGAAAGUUUUGACCACAUGGUCAUAUACCAACUAUCAACAGACUAAUGUGAAUUGGAGAACUACUGCUGGCUUCAAGAAGAAUGCAGAUAUGGUGGCCUAAAAAGUAAUGAAGGUUUGACAGACUGUUGAAUCUCUGACUGACUACAGAGUGCGGUGCAUUUCCAGUGAUAACCUUCUAAGAAUUAAAACAUUUGUGAAACUUC